Non-coding RNA from Megalobrama amblycephala (Wuchang bream), 991 nucleotides. The record is from the annotation of a RefSeq genome assembly. Lineage: Eukaryota; Metazoa; Chordata; Actinopteri; Cypriniformes; Xenocyprididae.
AGGAGGAGCUUAAUGUAUAUCUGAUGUAUUUUGCUGAACCUGAAGAGACUUUCAUCAGAUCAUUCAAGCUGAGACUGUAAGCACACAUACAAUGAUCCUCCAUUCAGUUAUUCUGUUCUCUGCUUUAGCAUGUGCCAGUAAUGGAGACACGAUUACACCAGACAAAACGCAGGAGUUUGCUGUUGAGGGUUCAAAUGUUAUAUUAUCCUGCAGUUAUUCUUCUGCACGGUCUUUACUUUGGUACCGUCAAUAUCCCGGAUCAGGUCCUGAAUUCCUUGUGCUCAUCCCAGAGAGUAAAAAAGAAGUUCAGCCAUCUGAUGUAGAUCAAAGAUUCACAAGUAAGAUCAGAAAAGAAAAUCAAAACCAUGUGGAUCUGAUCAUCUCCUCUGCUGCAGUAUCAGACUCUGCUCUGUAUUACUGUGCUCUGACGCCCACAGUCACAGGAAACACUGUAACUCUGUACAAAAACCUGCUUGUGCAAAAAAUGAAACUAUGAUGUUCCAUAGUAUACGGGAGAAAUGGGACCCUUAAAUCUUGAAUUAUCUACAGACCCAUCUGGUAUAUCUAGAAGCAUCUUGACCAUUUCAAGCAGCUACAUGAAACACAAAUGCAUGAUUAUUGAAGGUAUAAAAGUGUUAGUUUACUCAUUCACAUGUACAAAUGUGGUCAAUAUACAAUCAAGGCACACCUUCAGAUAACUUUUACCUUAACACUGCAAAGAAAAAACAACAACAAAACAGGUGCAUGAAGUCCAUGGGUGUAUGCAGAGAGUAACUGGCUUAACAAUAUACACAUCAAAGUAUUAGUAGAGGGAAUCAAGUGUGUGUUCAAAAACAUUUUAGGCUAAUCCUACUUUUUUUUUUUAAUUAAAAAUCGUUCAAAAUAACACAUUUUAAGUCAUUUCAAACUUUUAUCCACAAGGGGUCAGCAUUGCUCUCUUUGUGUAUGAGUAGAUCAUGUGACAUGAUACAAACAUUUAGCACCAUUGAGU